RNAcentral lists this non-coding RNA (24 nucleotides) under Arabidopsis thaliana (thale cress). The record is from RNAcentral. Lineage: Eukaryota; Viridiplantae; Streptophyta; Magnoliopsida; Brassicales; Brassicaceae.
UACAGGUUCGAAUCCUGUCCCCGC